GUCCAGAGUAGCCUAGUGGACAUGGCAUCUGCAUGGUAAGCGGAACACUGUGGAUUCGGUUUCCAAUCCCUGGGCA
Cordylochernes scorpioides is the source of this 76-nucleotide non-coding RNA. The record is from the annotation of a GenBank genome assembly. NCBI's taxonomy places the organism in Eukaryota, Metazoa, Arthropoda, Arachnida, Pseudoscorpiones, Chernetidae.